RNAcentral lists this ribosomal RNA (458 nucleotides) under uncultured bacterium. RNAcentral describes it as "bacterial SSU rRNA". It matches the Rfam family "Bacterial small subunit ribosomal RNA", at positions 340 to 786 of the family's 1533-position model. The record is from RNAcentral.
UACGGGAGGCAGCAGUGGGGAAUAUUGCACAAUGGGCGAAAGCCUGAUGCAGCUAUGCCGCGUGUAUGAAGAAGGCCUUAGGGUUGUAAAGUACUUUCAUCGGGGAGGAAAAAACAAAACUAAUAAUUUUAUUUCUUGACGUUACCCGAAAAAGAAGCACCGGCUAACUCCGUGCCAGCAGCCGCGGUAAUACGGAGGGUGCUAGCGUUAAUCAGAAUUACUGGGCGUAAAGAGCACGUAGGUGGUUUUUUUAAAGUCAGAUGUGAAAUCCCUGGGCUUUAACCUGGAACUGCAUUUUGAAACUGAAAUACUAGAGUAUCGUAGAGGGAGGUAGAAUUCUAGGUGUAGCGGUGAAAUGCGUAGAUAUCUGGAGGAAUACCUGUGGCGAAAGCGGCCUCCUAAACGAAUACUGACACUGAGGGUGCGAAAGCGUGGGGAGCAAACAGGGAUUAGAUACC